GGCCUGCUAGCUCAGUCGGUUAGAGCGUCGUGCUAAUAACGCGAAGGUCGUAGGUUCCAUCACUGCGCAGGCCA
Molecule: transfer RNA, 74 nt
Filed under: Rhipicephalus microplus (southern cattle tick)
Lineage: Eukaryota; Metazoa; Arthropoda; Arachnida; Ixodida; Ixodidae
Description: tRNA-Ile
Rfam family: tRNA
About the family: Transfer RNA (tRNA) molecules are approximately 80 nucleotides in length. Their secondary structure includes four short double-helical elements and three loops (D, anti-codon, and T loops).
Source: Rfam by way of RNAcentral